RNAcentral lists this ribosomal RNA (1044 nucleotides) under Peptostreptococcus stomatis. RNAcentral's name for it is "bacterial SSU rRNA". It matches the Rfam family "Bacterial small subunit ribosomal RNA", at positions 28 to 1058 of the family's 1533-position model. Lineage: Bacteria; Bacillati; Bacillota; Clostridia; Peptostreptococcales; Peptostreptococcaceae. The record is from RNAcentral.
GAUGAACGCUGGCGGCGUGCCUAACACAUGCAAGUCGAGCGAGGGUUUGCUCAGUAUUGAGUAUUCUAAGUCUAGAAUGUUCAAUUCUGAGCAAAACCAAGCGGCGGACGGGUGAGUAACGCGUGGGUAACCUGCCCUAUACACAUGGAUAACAUACUGAAAAGUUUACUAAUACGUGAUAAUAUAUAUUUGUGACAUCGCAGAUAUAUCAAAGUGUUAGCGGUAUAGGAUGGACCCGCGUCUGAUUAGCUAGUUGGUGAGAUAACUGCCCACCAAGGCGACGAUCAGUAGCCGACCUGAGAGGGUGAUCGGCCACAUUGGAACUGAGACACGGUCCAAACUCCUACGGGAGGCAGCAGUGGGGAAUAUUGCACAAUGGGCGAAAGCCUGAUGCAGCAACGCCGCGUGAACGAUGAAGGUCUUCGGAUCGUAAAGUUCUGUUGCAGGGGAAGAUAAUGACGGUACCCUGUGAGGAAGCCCCGGCUAACUACGUGCCAGCAGCCGCGGUAAUACGUAGGGGGCUAGCGUUAUCCGGAUUUACUGGGCGUAAAGGGUGCGUAGGUGGUCCUUCAAGUCGGUGGUUAAAGGCUACGGCUCAACCGUAGUAAGCCGCCGAAACUGGAGGACUUGAGUGCAGGAGAGGAAAGUGGAAUUCCCAGUGUAGCGGUGAAAUGCGUAGAUAUUGGGAGGAACACCAGUAGCGAAGGCGGCUUUCUGGACUGCAACUGACACUGAGGCACGAAAGCGUGGGUAGCAAACAGGAUUAGAUACCCUGGUAGUCCACGCUGUAAACGAUGAGUACUAGGUGUCGGGGGUUACCCCCCUCGGUGCCGCAGCUAACGCAUUAAGUACUCCGCCUGGGGAGUACGCACGCAAGUGUGAAACUCAAAGGAAUUGACGGGGACCCGCACAAGUAGCGGAGCAUGUGGUUUAAUUCGAAGCAACGCGAAGAACCUUACCUAAGCUUGACAUCCCUCGGACAGGUGUUUAAUCACACCCUUCCUUCGGGACUGAGGUGACAGGUGGUGCAUGGGUUGUCGUCAG